Molecule: unclassified non-coding RNA, 336 nt
Filed under: soil metagenome
Description: partial contains 5.8S ribosomal RNA, internal transcribed spacer 2, and large subunit ribosomal RNA
Rfam family: 5.8S ribosomal RNA (bases 1-120)
Source: RNAcentral
GAUGAAGAACGUAGCGAAAUGCGAUAAGUAAUGUGAAUUGCAGAAUUCCGUGAAUCAUCGAAUCUUUGAACGCACAUUGCGCCCCCUGGCAUUCCGGGGGGCAUGCCUGUCCGAGCGUCAUUUCUGCCCUCAAGCACGGCUUGUGUGUUGGGUGUGGUCCCCCCGGGGACCUGCCCGAAAGGCAGCGGCGACGUCCGUCUGGUCCUCGAGCGUAUGGGGCUCUGUCACUCGCUCGGGAAGGACCUGCGGGGGUUGGUCACCACCAUGUUUUACCACGGUUGACCUCGGAUCAGGUAGGAGUUACCCGCUGAACUUAAGCAUACAAUAAGCGGAGGA